RNAcentral lists this ribosomal RNA (798 nucleotides) under Allacta hainanensis. RNAcentral describes it as "12S ribosomal RNA". Lineage: Eukaryota; Metazoa; Arthropoda; Insecta; Blattodea; Pseudophyllodromiidae. The record is from RNAcentral.
UAAGAGUUUUAUUCUUGCUUGAAAAUUUUUGUUUUUAUAAAAUUUUGUAUGUAAAUUUUUGUGAAAAAUAUAUUCUUAAUGGAUUUUUAUUUAAUUUUUGCAGUAUUUAAAAUUAUGAAUUUAGGUAACUUUGAUUUAGUUAUUAUUAAAUUUAAAUAUUGAUUAAAAAUGUGCCAGCAGUCGCGGUUAGACAUUGAAUAUGAAUAAAUAUUAUUAGUUAAGUGGUUAUUUUGUUUAAUUUUGUUUAAUUUUGUUUAUUUUUAGGUGAAAUUUAAAAUUUUUGUAUUAAUUAUUAUUGUAAUUAUAGAGGCCAUGAUAUUUUUAAUUAUAUAAACUAGGAUUAGAUACCCUAUUAUAUUUUAUGUAAAUUUUUGACUUGAGUAGUAGUAGAAUAUUAUCUUGAAACUUAAAGAAUUUGGCGGUAUUUUAUUCUUUUUAGAGGAAUCUGUUUCGUAAUUGAUAAUCCGCGUUGUACCUUACUUAUAUUUAUUAAAUUUGUAUACCGUUGUUUAUUGAAAAUUUUUUUAGAAAUGUUAAUUUUCUAUAUUUGUAUUUAUUAAGUUAUUUCAGAUCAAGGUGCAGUUUAUGUAUGAGUGUAAAUGGAUUACAAUAUUUAAGUAAUAAAUGGAUUAAAAUUAGUAUACAAUUUUAUGAAGGUGGAUUUAAAAGUAAUUUUAUGUAGAUUGUUAAAAUGAAUAAGGCUCUAGAAUGUGUACAUAUUGCCCGUCACUCUCGUUGAAUUAUUAAAUGAGAUAAGUCGUAACAUAGUAGAUGUACUGGAAAGUGUAUCUAGUUUAA